RNAcentral lists this ribosomal RNA (194 nucleotides) under uncultured bacterium. RNAcentral's name for it is "partial 16S ribosomal RNA". It matches the Rfam family "Bacterial small subunit ribosomal RNA", at positions 338 to 524 of the family's 1533-position model. The record is from RNAcentral.
CCUACGGGAGGCAGCAGUGGGGAAUAUUGGACAAUGGGGGCAACCCUGAUCCAGCAAUACCACGUGUGUGAAGAAGGCCUUAGGGUUGUAAAGCACUUUAGUUCGUGAGGAAGGCUAUCAGGUUAAGAGCUGGAUAGUUUGACGUUAGCGAAAGAAUAAGCACCGGCAAACUCCGUGCCAGCAGCCGCGGUAAU